GUAGGUGGCAAGCGUUGUCCGGAAUUAUUGGGCGUAAAGCGCGCGCAGGCGGUUCUUUAAGUCUGAUGUGAAAGCCCACGGCUCAACCGUGGAGGGUCAUUGGAAACUGGAGAACUUGAGUACAGAAGAGGAAAGCGGAAUUCCACGUGUAGCGGUGAAAUGCGUAGAGAUGUGGAGGAACACCAGUGGCGAAGGCGGCUUUCUGGUCUGUAACUGACGCUGAGGCGCGAAAGCGUGGGGGGAGCAAACAGGAUUAGAUACCCUGGUAGUCCACGCCGUAAACGAUGAGUGCUAAGUGUUAGGGGGUUUCCGCCCCUUAGUGCUGCAGCUAACGCAUUAAGCACUCCGCCUGGGGAGUACGGCCGCAAGGCUG
Molecule: ribosomal RNA, 373 nt
Filed under: uncultured organism
Description: partial 16S ribosomal RNA
Rfam family: Bacterial small subunit ribosomal RNA
Source: RNAcentral